This 254-nucleotide ribosomal RNA is filed under the name uncultured bacterium. Its description in RNAcentral is "partial 16S ribosomal RNA". It matches the Rfam family "Bacterial small subunit ribosomal RNA", at positions 524 to 776 of the family's 1533-position model. The record is from RNAcentral.
UACGGGGGGAGCAAGCGUUGUUCGGAUUUACUGGGCGUAAAGGGCGCGUAGGCGGCCAGCACAAGUCAGUUAUGAAAUCUCCGAGCUUAACUCGGAAAGGUCAACUGAUACUGUGCGGCUAGAGUGCAGAAGGGGCAACUGGAAUUCUUGGUGUAGCGGUGAAAUGCGUAGAUAUCAAGAGGAACACCUGCGGCGAAGGCGGGUUGCUGGGCUGACACUGACGCUGAUGCGCGAAAGCCAGGGGAGCGAACGGG